AGCGAACGCUGGCGGCAGGCUUAACACAUGCAAGUCGAGCGGGCCCUUCGGGGUCAGCGGCGGACGGGUGAGUAACCCGUGGGAACGUGCCUUCUGGUUCGGAUUAACCCUGGGAAACUAGGGCUAAUACCGGAUACGCCCUUUUGGGGAAAGGUUUACUGUCAGAAGAUCGGCCAGCGUCUGAUUAGCUAGUUGGUGGGGUAAUGGUCUACCAAGGCGACGAGCAGUAGCUGGGCGGAGAGGACGAUCAGCCACACUGGGACUGAGACACGGCCCAGACUCCUACGGGAGGCAGCAGUGGGGAAUAUUGGACAAUGGGCGCAAGCCUGAUCCAGCCAUGCCGCGUGAGUGAUGAAGGCCUUAGGGUUGUAAAGCUCUUUUAUCCGGGACGAUAAUGACGGUACCGGAGGAAUAAGCCCCGGCUAACUUCGUGCCAGCCGCCGCGGUAA
This 449-nucleotide ribosomal RNA is filed under the name uncultured bacterium. Its description in RNAcentral is "partial 16S ribosomal RNA". It matches the Rfam family "Bacterial small subunit ribosomal RNA", at positions 29 to 523 of the family's 1533-position model. The record is from RNAcentral.